GGGGAAUAUUGGACAAUGGGGGGAACCCUGAUCCAGCCAUGCCGCGUGGGGGAAGAAGGCCUUGGGGUGGUAAACCCCUUUUGUUGGGAAAGAAAGGAAGCGGGCCAAUUUCGGGUGGUUCUGACGUUACCCAAGGAAUAAGCACGGGCUACCUCCGUGCCAGCAGCCGCGGUAAUACGAAGGGUGCAAGCGUUACUCGGAAUUACUGGGCGUAAAGCGUGCGUAGGUGGUGGUUUAAGUCCGUUGUGAAAGCCCUGGGCUCAACCUGGGAACUGCAGUGGAUACUGGAUCACUAGAGUGUGGCAGAGGGUAGUGGAAUUCCCGGUGUAGCAGUGAAAUGCGUAGAGAUCGGGAGGAACAUCAGUGGCGAAGGCGACUGCCUGGGCCAACACUGACACUGAGGCACGAAAGCGUGGGGAGCAAACA
This 426-nucleotide ribosomal RNA is filed under the name uncultured Lysobacteraceae bacterium. RNAcentral's name for it is "bacterial SSU rRNA". It matches the Rfam family "Bacterial small subunit ribosomal RNA", at positions 356 to 774 of the family's 1533-position model. Lineage: Bacteria; Pseudomonadati; Pseudomonadota; Gammaproteobacteria; Lysobacterales; Lysobacteraceae. The record is from RNAcentral.